GACGAACGCUGGCGGCGCGCCUAACACAUGCAAGUCGAACGGAGCUGAGAGAAGCUUGCUUUUCUUAGCUUAGUGGCGAACGGGUGAGUAACGCGUGAGUAACCUGCCCUGGAGUGGGGGACAACAGUUGGAAACGACUGCUAAUACCGCAUAAGCCCACGAUCCGGCAUCGGAUUGAGGGAAAAGGAUUUAUUCGCUUCAGGAUGGACUCGCGUCCAAUUAGCUAGUUGGUGAGGUAACGGCCCACCAAGGCGACGAUUGGUAGCCGGACGGGGAGGUUGACCGGCCACAUUGGGACUGAGACACAGCCCAGACUCCGACGGGAGGCAGCAGUGGGGGAUAUUGCACAAUGGGGGAAACCCUGAUGCAGCGACGCCGCGUGGAGGAAGAAGGUUUUCGGAUUGUAAACUCCUGUCGUUAGGGACGAUAAUGACGGUACCUAACAAGAAAGCACCGGCUAACUACGUG
Molecule: ribosomal RNA, 468 nt
Filed under: uncultured bacterium
Lineage: Bacteria
Description: partial 16S ribosomal RNA
Rfam family: Bacterial small subunit ribosomal RNA
Source: RNAcentral